This 439-nucleotide ribosomal RNA is filed under the name Aeromonas hydrophila. Its description in RNAcentral is "partial 16S rRNA". The record is from RNAcentral. Lineage: Bacteria; Pseudomonadati; Pseudomonadota; Gammaproteobacteria; Aeromonadales; Aeromonadaceae.
CGUAUUAGGCAUCAACCUUUCCUCCUCGCUGAAAGUGCUUUACAACCCGAAGGCCUUCUUCACACACGCGGCAUGGCUGCAUCAGGGUUUCCCCCAUUGUGCAAUAUUCCCCACUGCUGCCUCCCGUAGGAGUCUGGACCGUGUCUCAGUUCCAGUGUGGCUGAUCAUCCUCUCAGACCAGCUAGGGAUCGUCGCCUUGGUGAGCCAUUACCUCACCAACUAGCUAAUCCCACCUGGGCAUAUCCAAUCGCGCAAGGCCCGAAGGUCCCCUGCUUUCCCCCGUAGGGCGUAUGCGGUAUUAGCAGUCGUUUCCAACUGUUAUCCCCCUCGACUGGGCAAUUUCCCAGGCAUUACUCACCCGUCCGCCGCUCGCCGGCAAAAGUAGCAAGCUACUUUCCCGCUGCCGCUCGACUUGCAUGUGUUAGGCCUGCCGCCAGCG